CCUACGGGAGGCAGCAGUGAGGAAUAUUGGUCAAUGGGCGCGAGCCUGAACCAGCCAAGUCGCGUGAGGGAAGACGGUCCUAUGGAUUGUAAACCUCUUUUGUCGGGGAGCAAAAGACGCCACGCGUGGCGUUCCGAGAGUACCCGACGAAAAAGCAUAGGCUAACUCCGCGCCAGCAGCCGCGGUAAUACGGAGGAUGCGAGCGUUAUCCGGAUUUAUUGGGUUUAAAGGGUGCGCAGGCGGAAGAUUAAGUCAGCGGUAAAAUUUAGGGGCUCAACCUCUUCGCGCCGUUGAAACUGGGUUUCUUGAGGUAGUUAGAAGUAUGCGGAAUGCGUGGUGUAGCGGUGAAAUGCAUAGAUAUCACGAAGAACUCCGAUUGCGAAGGCAGUUCACUGGACUUCAACUGACACUGAGGCUCGAAAGUGUGGGUAGCAAACAGGAUUAGAUACCCCAGUAGUC
RNAcentral lists this ribosomal RNA (459 nucleotides) under uncultured bacterium. RNAcentral describes it as "partial 16S ribosomal RNA". It matches the Rfam family "Bacterial small subunit ribosomal RNA", at positions 338 to 795 of the family's 1533-position model. The record is from RNAcentral.